RNAcentral lists this transfer RNA (73 nucleotides) under Bacillota bacterium. Its description in RNAcentral is "Firmicutes bacterium (hot springs metagenome) tRNA-Thr". It matches the Rfam family "tRNA". From Rfam's summary of the family: Transfer RNA (tRNA) molecules are approximately 80 nucleotides in length. Their secondary structure includes four short double-helical elements and three loops (D, anti-codon, and T loops). Further hydrogen bonds mediate the characteristic L-shaped molecular structure. tRNAs have two regions of fundamental functional importance: the anti-codon, which is responsible for specific mRNA codon recognition, and the 3' end, to which the tRNAs corresponding amino acid is attached (by aminoacyl-tRNA synthetases). tRNAs cope with the degeneracy of the genetic code in two manners: having more than one tRNA (with a specific anti-codon) for a particular amino acid; and 'wobble' base-pairing, i.e. permitting non-standard base-pairing at the 3rd anti-codon position. The record is from RNAcentral. Lineage: Bacteria; Bacillati; Bacillota.
GCCCAGGUAGCUCAGUAGGCAGAGCACUUCCUUGGUAAGGAAGUGGUCGUCGGUUCGAGUCCGAUCCUGGGCU